UACAGAGGGGGCAAGCGUUGUUCGGAAUUACUGGGCGUAAAGGGCGCGUAGGCGGCCCGCUAAGUCGAACGUGAAAUCCCCGAGCUCAACUCGGGAACUGCGUCCGAUACUGGUGGGCUUGAAUCCGGGAGAGGGAUGCGGAAUUCCAGGUGUAGCGGUGAAAUGCGUAGAUAUCUGGAGGAACACCGGUGGCGAAGGCGGCAUCCUGGACCAACACUGACGCUGAGGCGCGAAAGCCAGGGGAGCAAACGGG
This 253-nucleotide ribosomal RNA is filed under the name uncultured bacterium. Its description in RNAcentral is "partial 16S ribosomal RNA". It matches the Rfam family "Bacterial small subunit ribosomal RNA", at positions 524 to 776 of the family's 1533-position model. The record is from RNAcentral.